This is a long non-coding RNA of Bos taurus (domestic cattle), 871 nucleotides long. NCBI's taxonomy places the organism in Eukaryota, Metazoa, Chordata, Mammalia, Artiodactyla, Bovidae. The record is from Ensembl.
CUCUGGCAAGGGGCCCCCCUCCUCCCUGCAGAAGUUCCACGGGAAACACGGCAGGGGUCAGCAAAUAGCCUCCCUGGUCAACAGGCAGGGGGACAGGGCCUGAGACGCACCCCUUCCACCCCACCCUCCAGACAGCAGACAGCAGCCCAAGCUGUCCUGAAGUAACUGCUCUCUUCUGGGACCUCACAAAGUGCCACAGCACUUGUCAGAACCCACAGCAUCACUAGGAUAUUCAGUGAAGGGGACGGUGUCCAGGACAGGACCUGCGUGCCCACCAUGCGGUGGGGACGGGGCACGAGCAGUUAUGGAGGCCUUGGCGCACCAAGACCGUCAGCGUAGGCCUGGCUGUGGCCGUGGUCCCUGCUGUACUCGAGGCCCAACUGCAACUGUUUGUUUGCCAGCUCUAUGCCAAGCUCCACCCCAGAUGUACAGUGGGAGCAACAGGGAGGAGCUUCAGGGCAGCAGGGGAGAUAAGAAGCAAGUGAUCAGGCGAUCAGAAUGUAAGCGCUCAGAGGGCAGACCCAGCAGAAUGAAUUGAUACAUGGUUGGCACCCAAUAAAUAUCUGUUGAUGGAUCACAUGAAGGCCAGUACGGGGUAUUCGACUUGGCCCCUCGAGGACUUGGCACAGAGCCUGGGCGCAAUAAAAGCUGGCUGCGUGGAGUUAUUUGCUAAACGAAUGAACGAAACAACGAGCAGACCAACUAAGCGAAGCAGCGUCCCGCCUGCUGACUGACGGGUUGACUGACACUUGGGAGCCCGUGGCCAGAAGACUCUUGAUGGAUGGGUGACAGCUGAGCGGCAGUCAACAGACGCGCACGGGGUUCCUGACUGGCUGGCCGCAGCAGCCCCUCGGAAAGGGUAAGGGAAGAG